AGUCACUGACAUUAGAUACCCGCGUAGUCCCAGCCGUAAACUAUGCGCGUUAGGUGUACUGGUGACCACGAGUCACCGGGGUGCCGCAGGGAAGCCGUGAAGCGAGCCACCUGGGAAGUACGGCCGCAAGGCUGAAACUUAAAGGAAUUGGCGGGGAGCACAACAACGGGUGGAGCCUGCGGUUUAAUUGGACUCAACGCCGGACAACUCACCGGGGACGACAGCAAUAUGUAGGCCAGGCUGAAGACCUUGCCUGAAUCGCUG
Molecule: ribosomal RNA, 264 nt
Filed under: uncultured archaeon
Lineage: Archaea
Description: partial 16S ribosomal RNA
Rfam family: Archaeal small subunit ribosomal RNA
Source: RNAcentral